UGCCGGAAGAUUAUGUAGACGAAGCCGAGCGUAUUAUGCGCAGCCUCAUGAGCGGCGGCAAGACCGUGACCACCAGCAAAAUCCGCAACCUGUUGAGCCUUGUGACCGAUAUCUAUAAUGAGGAAAACAUCC
Molecule: unclassified non-coding RNA, 132 nt
Filed under: soil metagenome
Description: partial internal transcribed spacer 1
Source: RNAcentral